RNAcentral lists this ribosomal RNA (324 nucleotides) under uncultured bacterium. RNAcentral's name for it is "bacterial SSU rRNA". It matches the Rfam family "Bacterial small subunit ribosomal RNA", at positions 29 to 334 of the family's 1533-position model. The record is from RNAcentral.
AAUAAACGCUGGCGGCAUGCCUAACACAUGCAAGUCGAACGAACAAUCCGGAGCUUGCUCCGGAGCGUUAGUGGCAGACGGGUGAGUAACGCGUGGGCAAUCUACCUUAGAGGUGGGGGAUACCUCUCCGAAAGGAGGGUUAAUACCGCAUAAAAUCGAGAGGUCUAAGGGCCAUUCGAUCAAAGCUGGGGAUCUUCGGACCUGGUGCUUAAAGAGGAGCUCGCGUCAGAUUAGCUAGUUGGUGGGGUAACGGCCUACCAAGGCGACGAUCUGUAGCCGGCCUGAGAGGGUGAUCGGCCACACUGGAACUGAGACACGGUCCAG